Non-coding RNA from Peromyscus maniculatus bairdii (prairie deer mouse), 551 nucleotides. The record is from RefSeq and is a predicted model, not a curated record. NCBI's taxonomy places the organism in Eukaryota, Metazoa, Chordata, Mammalia, Rodentia, Cricetidae.
AGGACGAUAGAUGGAGUGAAAAAAAAAAAUACAAAGGAAGCAGUGUCCAGGCUUAAGGGAGGUUCUCCAGUUUCUGCCCCUGUGGUUCACGCACCUGCUGCCCAGGCCAGCUGCACUUCUGGCUUCCCAGACUCAAAGGAAGUGAAAUUAGAGCAGACUGCUGAGGAGAGCAAGAAGGCCUCUGCACCCCCACUCCCAGCUCUCUGGCUAGACUGCAGAUUCCCAAAGACCUGGAAGGAAGCCUGCCUGGAUCCCCAACCUGGAAUCACUCAGCCAUAUUAUCUGGGAGCUUGGAUGGCCAGCUGUCUCCCACAGUACAGAAGCAAGGCCGUCUUGACCUCUUGCUACCCUGGCAUGGGAAGAGUGUGAAGUUCUUUCCAGAUCCCAAGAAGUCAGAGAAGGUGCUUCAGGGUGGGUUCUGGAAGCCGCCCAUCUCACCCCAGCUCCCAGCACCCAUCAGUCUCCUGCUCCACCUGCAGCUCCAUGUCCCAGGCAUCUACCACGCUGGAGAGUGGGGCAUUGCUCUCAGGACCCCGGGGUCUUCGGCAUGG